GGGGCUAUAGCUCAGGGGUAGAGCAUCUGCCUAGCAUGCAUAAGGCCCUGGGUCCAAUCCUCAGUACCA
This 69-nucleotide transfer RNA is filed under the name Neotoma lepida (desert woodrat). It matches the Rfam family "tRNA". From Rfam's summary of the family: Transfer RNA (tRNA) molecules are approximately 80 nucleotides in length. Their secondary structure includes four short double-helical elements and three loops (D, anti-codon, and T loops). Lineage: Eukaryota; Metazoa; Chordata; Mammalia; Rodentia; Cricetidae. The record is from Rfam by way of RNAcentral.